AGACCCGAAACCCGGUGAUCUAGCCAUGGGCAGGUUGAAGGUUGGGUAACACUAACUGGAGGACCGAACCGACUAAUGUUGAAAAAUUAGCGGAUGACCUGUGGCUGGGGGUGAAAGGCCAAUCAAACCGGGAGAUAGCUGGUUCUCCCCGAAAGCUAUUUAGGUAGCGCCUCGUGAAUUCAUCUCCGGGGGUAGAGCACUGUUUCGGCUAGGGGGCCAUCCCGGCUUACCAACCCGAUGCAAACUGCGAAUACCGGAGAAUGUUAUCACGGGAGACACACGGCGGGUGCUAACGUCCGUCGUGAAGAGGGAAACAACCCAGACCGCCAGCUAAGGUCCCAAAGUCAUGGUUAAGUGGGAAACGAUGUGGGAAGGCCCAGACAGCCAGGAUGUUGGCUUAGAAGCAGCCAUCAUUUAAAGAAAGCGUAAUAGCUCACUGGUCGAGUCGGCCUGCGCGGAAGAUGUAACGGGGCUAAACCAUGCACCGAAGCUGCGGCAGCGACACUGUGUGUUGUUGGGUAGGGGAGCGUUCUGUAAGCCUGUGAAGGUGUGUCGUGAGGCAUGCUGGAGGUAUCAGAAGUGCGAAUGCUGACAUAAGUAACGAUAAAGCGGGUGAAAAGCCCGCUCGCCGGAAGACCAAGGGUUCCUGUCCAACGUUAAUCGGGGCAGGGUGAGUCGACCCCUAAGGCGAGGCCGAAAGGCGUAGUCGAUGGGAAACGGGUUAAUAUUCCCGUACUUGGUGUUACUGCGAAGGGGGGACGGAGAAGGCUAUGUUGGCCGGGCGACGGUUGUCCCGGUUUAAGCGUGUAGGUGUGUGUUCCAGGUAAAUCCGGUUCACUUUAACACUGAGGCGUGACGACGAGGCACUACGGUGCUGAAGCAACAAAUGCCCUGCUUCCAGGAAAAGCCUCUAAGCAUCAGGUAACAUCAAAUCGUACCCCAAACCGACACAGGUGGUCAGGUAGAGAAUACCAAGGCGCUUGAGAGAACUCGGGUGAAGGAACUAGGCAAAAUGGUGCCGUAACUUCGGGAGAAGGCACGCUGACACGUAGGUGAAGUGAUUUACUCAUGGAGCUGAAGUCAGUCGAAGAUACCAGCUGGCUGCAACUGUUUAUUAAAAACACAGCACUGUGCAAACACGAAAGUGGACGUAUACGGUGUGACGCCUGCCCGGUGCCGGAAGGUUAAUUGAUGGGGUCAGCGCAAGCGAAGCUCCUGAUCGAAGCCCCGGUAAACGGCGGCCGUAACUAUAACGGUCCUAAGGUAGCGAAAUUCCUUGUCGGGUAAGUUCCGACCUGCACGAAUGGCGUAAUGAUGGCCAGGCUGUCUCCACCCGAGACUCAGUGAAAUUGAACUCGCUGUGAAGAUGCAGUGUACCCGCGGCAAGACGGAAAGACCCCGUGAACCUUUACUAUAGCUUGACACUGAACAUUGAGCCUUGAUGUGUAGGAUAGGUGGGAGGCUUUGAAGCGUGGACGCCAGUCUGCGUGGAGCCGACCUUGAAAUACCACCCUUUAAUGUUUGAUGUUCUAACGUGGACCCGUGAUCCGGGUUGCGGACAGUGUCUGGUGGGUAGUUUGACUGGGGCGGUCUCCUCCUAAAGAGUAACGGAGGAGCACGAAGGUUGGCUAAUCCUGGUCGGACAUCAGGAGGUUAGUGCAAUGGCAUAAGCCAGCUUGACUGCGAGCGUGACGGCGCGAGCAGGUGCGAAAGCAGGUCAUAGUGAUCCGGUGGUUCUGAAUGGAAGGGCCAUCGCUCAACGGAUAAAAGGUACUCCGGGGAUAACAGGCUGAUACCGCCCAAGAGUUCAUAUCGACGGCGGUGUUUGGCACCUCGAUGUCGGCUCAUCACAUCCUGGGGCUGAAGUAGGUCCCAAGGGUAUGGCUGUUCGCCAUUUAAAGUGGUACGCGAGCUGGGUUUAGAACGUCGUGAGACAGUUCGGUCCCUAUCUGCCGUGGGCGCUGGAGAACUGAGGGGGGCUGCUCCUAGUACGAGAGGACCGGAGUGGACGCAUCACUGGUGUUCGGGUUGUCAUGCCAAUGGCACUGCCCGGUAGCUAAAUGCGGAAGAGAUAAGUGCUGAAAGCAUCUAAGCACGAAACUUGCCCCGA
This 2110-nucleotide ribosomal RNA is filed under the name Salmonella enterica. RNAcentral's name for it is "partial 23S ribosomal RNA". It matches the Rfam family "Bacterial large subunit ribosomal RNA", at positions 711 to 2802 of the family's 2925-position model. RNAcentral also lists the same sequence under 2 other names. The record is from RNAcentral. Lineage: Bacteria; Pseudomonadati; Pseudomonadota; Gammaproteobacteria; Enterobacterales; Enterobacteriaceae.